Molecule: long non-coding RNA, 420 nt
Organism: Lutra lutra (Eurasian river otter)
Lineage: Eukaryota; Metazoa; Chordata; Mammalia; Carnivora; Mustelidae
Exons: 2
Source: RefSeq, a predicted model, not a curated record
UGGGCUCGGGGCCCCGGCCUGGCAGCUGCUGCACAGCCACGGGGCACCUCAGGGGUGGCCGUGUCCUGUGGCCGGGCCAGCCGCUGGCUCCGGGGGUGGGACCCGCAUGGGUUUCCCGGAGCCCUGCCCCUCGAGCUCUGAGUGAGGACUACAGAGGAGUCUCUGUGGGGGCCAGAAGCUGUGAUGCUGUGGUUCUUGCCCCUAGGUACCAGGGCUCCAUGGAGAAAUGGCUGAUCUGUAGGCUGAAAAGGGAAAUAAUAAGCCUGGAGCAUCUUGAUGUUCCAGAAAAUAAGAAAGUGGUCAAGGAAUAAUGGAGACACAGCUAAAGGAUACAGAAACCAGAUUAAAGAGAUUCCCACUCACUUUACUGGGACAAUUUGAUAUCAAAAUAAAUAAUGAUAGCCAUGGAUUCUAACUCAA